RNAcentral lists this long non-coding RNA (2018 nucleotides) under Homo sapiens (human). RNAcentral's name for it is "HSALNT0332052". The record is from RNAcentral. Lineage: Eukaryota; Metazoa; Chordata; Mammalia; Primates; Hominidae.
UUCUGUUUCAUAACUGAUUUCCAUUUCAGCUUAGCUAUGAGCUCACAUUUGCCAAUGUAGUGUUCCAGACAGUUUUAUCAUCCACAUUGCUGACCUGGAAGAUGCAUCAUUGUCUAUGAUAUCUGCAAUGGAAAUGAUCACUAGGCAAUUUCAGCCUUGCAAAUCUAACUGUGGCGUGUGGAAAGAAGAGGAACCAGAAAAGAAUGUUUGUGAAGUUCUGGCUUGAAUCUCGUGCCGGGAGUGUGAAGAAGGUCCUUGCUUCCCCUUCACCUUCUGCCAUGAUUCUAAGUUUCCUGACGCCUCCCAGCCGUGCUUCCUGUUAAGCCUGUGAAACUGACAUUACCUGUUGAUUCUUGGGCAAGGCCCAGAAUUUGGUGGACAUACUUAAAGAAGAAAGGAAUCUUCAGCUAAAGUGUCUACGAUCAAUUCAGAUUUGGAGGGCAUGGAUCUUCUGACAGUAGGGGCCAUUCUAGGAUUUUUUGGUUGAAGAGAUGAACUUCAACUUGGUUCCAGAUGGGUGGUCCAGCUAUUCUGCUGACAACAUUUUUCAGGGCAAGGCUUUUGCUACUGGAAUGAUUUAAGGAAGAUCCCUCAGUGUUUCAGAGUAAAGAUAUUUCUAAAGAAGUACCUGUGUCAUUGCCCAUCUUGAAGAUUGACUUUUAUGGAUUGCUCAAAUACUGAUAUCAGCUCAAUGUCAAUAUAUACUCCUACAUAUAAAAUCCAUCUUCUAAUCAUAAUCACUAGGUGGAUAUUGUUAUGCAAGGAAGAGAUGUGAAUAUACAGGAAAUGAGAUCCUUAAAGGGGUUGCCGUCCAGAUGUUAGAUCAAAGAGAUUAUGAUUCAUUCAACCAAGUCGCUGGACUUUUGAAGGCCUAUCCAAGUCAUGGUGCCUUUGAGGUUGCGCCUGUUACUAUUCAAAACUUGGUUUUAACCAUUUAAGGCCAUGAGGUGUGAGGUCUUUUGAGAGUGAAAGAACUCAUAUUAAUCCAGCUCCUGACUCCUAAAAAAACAGUAACUCUUGUAAUUAAAAUGGGCAGAGUCCAUCAAGAAGCAGUGUCCAGAAGCACUGGGCCAUGUGGCGAGCAGCAGUGUCACCAGGAAACAUGCCGAGCUGGGUCAGGAACUGCGCAAGGAGGAGGAGACACUGCUCCUGUUGAAGGCAGCCCUCGCAUGACCUGCUGAAUCACAUCAAGGUUGAAGCAUUGGCCCUCCAAUCAAUGAUUAGUUCUGGGAGAGGGGAUGAGGUGCUGUCUUCUCCAACUUCUCCAACUGUGCCUGAACAGUCACACGUCAUGUCAGUGCAUAUAGAGAAUGAAGCAUCAGUCAACCAAACUACGCUGGAGUGGAGCAUAGAGUCCUGUGACAGAAGAGGAGGAGGAAGAGAAAGAAGAAUCAGAUCCCUAAAGGAGGGAAAAAGCCAGGAUUCAUUAUACAAAUUAAAUUUCUAAGUCUCAGGCUCUUUCUCCCCAAGGAAAUCAUCUUGCCAUGAGCCCUAGGGCCUGCUUGAAUGGAGAGCAAGAACUAUAGGAGGAUGUGUAGCUGCAAAAAUUUCUCAUCAAUAACUCAAUCUUCAGAACGUUAUGACAUACAGAAAAUCAAAGAUGCUGUGUCUUAGCAUUGAGCAAUAUGGGUGGUGCUAUGUCUGUAGUCUGGUCAAAUUCAGUAACUGUGUUCAAAACAAAAUUUCCUCUGGAAUACUAUUGAGAAAAUCUGGCAUUUGCAAAAAGGGCAGAGUUUAAAUAUGAGCCAGUCUUUCCAAUCAACAAUACCUCUUUUAAGAAAACCAACUAACAGCUGUUUGCAUGCCGUUGAAUCCUUGUGAGCAGUUAGGCCACAGUCUAGGACAGAAAGAUGACACGGGGAAGGACUGAGGGCCAUCUGAGAACAAAAGUUGUUGCUACUUCUCAGAGGCAUUGAGACACACUGCAUGCUGUAGACUGCUUUGUGUAACUGUUGUCACAUCUUGCUUGAGAUGUCAUUGGCAGAAUGUUCUUAAAAAUAAAUUAUAGAUAAAUAGCC